CAAAAGUAGUAGAACUGACCUACUGGCACAGAAUGUUUUGGUUGCCUCAUAACUCUGUGAUGCCACAGACGCACUCCAAACUCCCAGAACAAGUUACCAAGCCCCAGAAAGCUGCCAAGGAAGGCUCUGAAGAUGAAAGGCUUGUGGAUUUUAUUUUCAAAGGAAAUUAUUAUUUUCAUGCUGCUAUAGACUAACAAAGUGGCCCACUCAGUAGAAUAACCCCACCACCACUGAGUAGGAUACAGACACUUCAAAGUGUCCUUCCUCUGUGCAUACAUUUCCAAUAUGAGGCUCUUCCAGGAAAUGCAGCUGCAUCUGGUGUCCAGUGAACAAAGGCUUGAGGAGCACUCCUUUUCCAGCUACUUGGACAUAAGGAUUUGCUGUGUUCUCCCAUGAAAGACUGCUUCAUGACAGCUCUGUGUGUCUCUAUUACUUCAAGUCUAGAUUUACUGUGUUUUCCUCCAAAGAGGACUGUAUUCGUAGAACAAACUUUAAAGAGCAAA
This 503-nucleotide long non-coding RNA is filed under the name Anas platyrhynchos platyrhynchos (common mallard). Its description in RNAcentral is "lncRNA (ENSAPLG00000017634.1)". The record is from RNAcentral. Lineage: Eukaryota; Metazoa; Chordata; Aves; Anseriformes; Anatidae.